GGGGCUGUGGCUGAGUGGUAAGCCUUCUGCUUGGCAAGCAGUGGUCCCAAGUUCAAUCCUCAGCAUCUCCA
Molecule: transfer RNA, 71 nt
Filed under: Sphaerodactylus townsendi
Lineage: Eukaryota; Metazoa; Chordata; Lepidosauria; Squamata; Sphaerodactylidae
Description: tRNA-Ala
Rfam family: tRNA
About the family: Transfer RNA (tRNA) molecules are approximately 80 nucleotides in length. Their secondary structure includes four short double-helical elements and three loops (D, anti-codon, and T loops).
Source: RNAcentral